UCAACUUGGAAUCACAGAGAAAUGUUAAUCAUUUGCUAUGGCUUUCUUGAUUAAAGGAAUUGUAAAUGACUGAAAAACUAAAAAAAGGCUUAUUCUUGGAUUAAUGUCAGAUAAAACUUGUGCCUAUAAAGCAUCUUAGUGCAAUAUACCAUUCUUUCAAAGUUCAAACACAGACAGCAAAAUAAGGAAAAUGAGAAUAAUCAUGUCAUUAAGCCUCAAUUGGCAAAAUGUUUCAGGAGAUGAGGCUGUCCAACCAUUAGGGUAAGAAAGACUUUUGUUACUAAUCUCCAUAUAGUGUAAUUUUGCUGGCCCAAAAAUUUCCCCAAAAUUCCAUUCCCCUGGAUUACAAAUUAAUUGAAUAUCUUUAGGGGGGUGUAAUGGUUAAUUUUAUGUGCCAGUUUGACUAGGCCACAGGAUUCCCAGAUAUUUGAUCAAACAUUAUUUUGUAAGGGUGUUUUGGAUAACAUUAACAUUUAGAUUAGUAGACUGAGGAAAGCAGCUUGCCCUCCCUAAUGUGAGUGGGUCUCAUUCAAUAAGUUAAAGGCUUGAACAGAACAAGCAGGCUGACCCUCUUCCCAAUGAGGCGGAAUUUCUCCUGCCUGAUGGCCUUCCAACUGGGACAUUGUUGUUUGUUUGUUUGUUUGUUUGUUUCCCCUGCCUUUGAAUUGUAGCAUCAGUUCUUUCCAGAUUUUGAGUCUGCCAGCCUUUAGACUGAAACUACACCAUUGGCUCCCUUAGGUCUCCAGUUUGAUGACUUACCCUGCAGAUCUUGAGACCUGUCAGCCUCCAUAAUUCUAUAAGCCAAUUCCUUAUAAUAAAUCUCUCUUUCUCUCUCUCUCUCUCUACACACACACACACACACACACACACACACACACACACACACACCCCUCCUUUCUAUUGGUUCUGUUUCUUUGGAGAACCCUGACUAAUACACAGGGGACAAAAAACACUCAUUUAUGCCAGAGGCAAGGCACAACUUUUGCAUAUCUGCACAUUAAGGAGUGAAUGACUGAUCUCCCUGCCUCUCAACCACACAUUUCUGAGAAAAGGAUGGAGGAAGAAUCAACUGCAUGACCCAAAAAGUUGAAGAAAAUACCUGUGAAGGAGGUACUUAGCAUAACAAGAAGUUUCAUUUGGUCAUAAACUAUAUUUAGGGUUUUUCAGCAGAAACUUAGCCUCUAGUAGAGCAGUAAAGAGAAUACUUCCAUUCAGGGGAUGUGGAUUAGGAAGACUGGUUAAGAGAUGGUCACAGCUCCCCAGUGCCAGCUCAGCUUGAAGGGUUUCACCCCGUUACUAAUGGAGUAAGAUUUUCAACAGCAUCCAUGACCUCCUGGACAAGAAGGCAGUGUACGUUUUGUGAGUUGGAAGUGCAGAUAAGCAGGCUUGGCUGCAAAGCAGGUUUCUCUGGCUUGCCUGGUCCCUGUCCCUUGGCAGGAUUGCAGCCCACUCUGGGUGGGAGAAAUGUGGCUAAUCCACUUCCUCUCUACUCCAAUGUCUGCAUCUUCAUUUCAGAUUUCAGUUUUAGCCUCCAGCCUGCCAGGGCAAGAAGGGACCAACACUGUAAACCCAGCAUCACAAGAAUCACAAGAAUGGCAAGUAAACUGUGAAGCAAGGAGACAAGUCCAGGUUCUCUGAGGCAAAGAGGAGUGAGCGGGCACCACAGUCAGGGGUGCCUUGGCAAUCGGAGCUCGUUCCUUCAGAGUCUUCUGGUCCCGUACUCCCAUUUUCCAGGUGGGGACUCCGACGUCCAGGAAUGAGAAUGCCCUUGCCCAUGUCACAGAAGAAGUUCCAAGAACAGGACCCUGGACUCUGCCACCAGGACCCCUUCAUCAUUCUGCUUCAUCACAACACUUCUUAAAAGGAAACUUAACCCUGGCCUUCUACCCAAUAGACCCAGCAGACCUGCAACGGUGGCCCUGAGAGUCAGGGCCCAGGCCACAAUGGGGAAAAGCAGCUCUAGGGAAAGGGGUUGUGAACACAAGGCCUAGCUUGGGGGCUGUGUGGACUCUGCCCCUCCUACACCUCUCACUCCCAUCCACACAUUGGAGCUGGAAGGGCCUGCCCAGAACAGUGGAAGGGAAAGAGCACCAGGCCACUAAACACCAUGUUCUAGAUCUGUCCCUGUUGCCCCUCAUAAACCACUUUCCCACAUUGUGCCUCAGUUUCCCUAUCUGGAAAACGCAUUGGUCUCACUUUACACUCUAUAGUUUCACUGAUAUUUGGACAUUCUAUAGGUUACAAAAUUAAGUGGCCCUGUUCAAGGGAGAGAUAGAAAUAUUAGAUUUAUGUUCCAGAGGCAGAACCAUUCAGUGCCGCAGUCACCGAGGUGUAAAAGUAUAGAUUUCUGUUAACUUGAAAGGGGAGUUGAAAGAAGGCAAGAGAAAUGUCCCCUCAGGCUAAUUUGUCUUCACUUAGAAAAUGUUUUCAAAGGAAAUUCUGAGGAGGUUUGUCUCCUCCCCCAGCCAGGAGCCUCUUCCGUCUUCCCAGAACCGGAAUUUGGGUGGUGUGGCCAACAAAGGAGCCAUUCUUCCUCUAAAGGGGUCACUUCCCUCGGAUCCCAGGGCAGCGGGCUGCGGCAGGUGCUCAUGGGUGAUUGCACGGAGGCAGACAUGCUGCGGGACUUGCAGCAUCAAGGUCAUCUGUAAAGGAGCUGGCCAUGACCCGCCACUGCCCACCAAGGUCUGGAGCAGACGUUAUUCUCAACAACACUUCAAAGGGUCACAUUGUUGCUACGUGGAAAACACUGCAGGGGUGAGUGUGACAGCAGACAGACCCGUUAGAGCCACUGAUGUGCAGAGUUCUCUAACUUGGCAAAUGGCACCACCAUCCAUCCGACUGGACCAAGCACAAACUUGAGAGCCACCCUUGACACCUCCUUUCCCUUCAGCACCUCCCUACCACCACAUUCAGUCUGUCCAGGAAUAGCAGGAGAUAGAAGGAACACAGGGGAGGCAGGAGAGCAAGGCUGUUGGCCUCAUCCGCUGCCUCCUGGCUGACUGAGGACGGAUGUGUUAGAUAAAUCUGAGAACGCAAAGAAGCGCAGAGGUUCUAUUCUGCAACCCAGUAAAGAUGAAGAGGAGGAAGCUAAUUCCCAGGUGCCUACACUGAGCUAACAGACACGUGCCUCUCCCUGGUGGCUCCAGCACAGUCAAACAGAGGCAGACUCCAAGGCUCCCUUUGCUGAGUUGCCUUUGCUUCCAGUGAAGGAGAACCCAAGAGUCCAGCAAAGGAGUUCUUGACAUGACAAGGGUGGAGGAUCUGAGCACCCAGGGCCACUGAAUGGAGCAGCCAAGCCAAAGCCAAAUGGGAAUCUCAUCAGAGUUGUCUGAUGCCAGAGAGAGCCAAGGUCAGGAUGAGUCAGCCAGAGGGUGCUCCCAGGCUCUGACCCAGCUGAGAGGGGCCAGAUCAUGUGUUACACUUCUUCAGAGGCCAGAGGAAGCACAGGGCAGAGGCACAAAGACCCUAAAUCUUCCCCAUGGCCCUCAUGAGGUUGCAGAAACCACCACCACCCCUCACACGUAUAUCUGGACACACCAGAUGAGAAUAUACCAGAAGGAGGAAGAAUAUUAUCUGAAAGAUUGAGCCAUUUAUCCAAAAGAGAUUAAUCUAAAUAUACUUUAAUAUUGGGUUUAAUAUUGAUUUAAGCCUUAAAUUGAACACAAAGAGAAAAAUUUCUCUUUGCUAACCAGUUGGGUGUGGGCUUCAAAGGAAGGUUAUAUUAGGUGGAGAAAAAGUGAAGUAUGUUUUCUCUGCAUAUCCAAAUUAUAGUACAAAGUUAAUACUGUGCAUCUGACACACAGGAAUAAAAGGACCAUGAAAUCACUUGUCAAAAAUCUUAGCAGUUUAGGAAAACCAGGCAGAUAGUUGCUGCAGGGUUGGACGGGCCACAUUCCUAAAGUUCCCACAGAUAGGGCUGACUGCAGCUUUCACAACUGUAGAAAACAUAGGAGGAAAUUCAAAGAGUGAACCAGGAUGGUGGAUUCCUAACUCUUGGUCAGACCUGCCCUCUAAGUGGUAGCUCAGCUAGUCUGCCCAUGGUGGGCACCAGGCAACUUCCAUGGAGAGGGGAUAUGCCCACUCACGUCCCCUCCUGGUCAAUACUUAUAGGCAUGUCAGCAAAAAGACUUGUUUAAAAUAAACAGUCCACAAUGUAUGAUGACCCACACACAUGUUUCAAAACUGUGAAGCAUAAAUAUACUUAUUGUAGGGAAAAAAUAUUACACAAUGAAAACAACCACAUGGGUCUGGUGUUCACUACCUGCCCCUUUCCACUAGGACAAGCCAAAAGGACUUUGACAUUCUCUUCCCUGAAUCUGUUCUGCAACCUCUUCUUCAGUUAUCCUUGUGAUUCUUCCAUGGAUCUCCUGCAUGCUGUGCUGGGUCACGUGCCACCAGGAUCCCAGCUGGUUCACAGGGCACAUCAUGUCAUUGUAUCAGGUCUGAAGCAGUAGUAGUCAGUGAGCUCUCUCGGUCCUUCCUCCUGCAAAGUCUUCUUCUUCCUAACUCUGACCUUUACUCUUCUUGUUUCUAAUUGCACAACAAAUGUAAUGUGUAGACUGUAUUUCUCCUCCAGUGAAAAUCCACUUGGUCAAGUGCCUGCUGCUAGUAAACCUAGCUAGUAAGGUUAGUAAACCUCUGCUCUUCAUCAUGCUGAAAGAGAUGGCCUUUAUAGCCCUCUUUAACUGCUGUUGGGAAUAGGACAACUUCUAGGCUGGCUGCCUUGGCUCCCCCAUCCCCAUUAUUCAGAAGGUUUUACUCUAAAUCCUUCCUGCACCCCACUGUAAAGUGUCCUGCCAGAUGCAGCAAGGGGAUUUACAAUCACCCAUUUGUGCACUCCAUGGACUUUCCUGCUUAGUUCUGUAAUUCCCUCUGCUUAUGUAGAUGAAAUCCAUUCUUACACUUGUGCGCUUACCCAUGUGCUUAGUGCUAGCAAUUCUGAGCACUCGAUAUUGUCACAAGAAAAUACUACAAGAUUGCAACCCAGCUCUCUGGACAGACAGGCCUAUCCUUCCCUCAGUAGCAUAUGAGCUCCAUGAAAGCUACAAUCUAGAAUGCUACAUCCCAGUGUCUUGAACUGUGCCUGACAUGUAGUAGGCACCCAAUAGACAUGGGUGGAACAGAUGAUUGAGUUGAUGAGCAGAAAAAAACAAGAGGCGUGUUGCAUCUUCUGUGCACAAAAUCCCACCUGCAAAGAAACCUAUGUACAAGCUUCUUUUUUUGUUAAAGGCCUCCCCUUACACCUUGCCAACCCCACACCACUUUUCAAUACACAAUCUCCUGGAAAAAAAAUAAAAAAUCUCUGUGUGAUCUUUAAACAUUACCCUUGUGCUGGCACCUUUUUUGCCAAAGGCAGGAAAAACUUGUCUAUCAAGUUACCCUUCAUUUGAGCAGAGGCAACUAUCUACAGCUUUGGAACCAUGGCUCUCUCACCAGCAGCUGAGCACUUUGAUCUUCAUGCCAUUCCCCGAAAUAAAGAGGCAGAAGCCAAACCGUAGCCUGGUCUCAGCUCUCCUAGCCUCAAGCUGCAUGAGGCAGAACUAUCCAAAGGGCCAGGCAUCCAUGGACAUCUGGCAGAGAGGGUGCAAACCCCUCUGGGCUCCAGCAGCUCUCAGUGGUGCUCCUUUGAGGUUCUUUGUCCCCAGGGAGUCUAGUAUGUGUGGCCAAGGGUUUCACUGGCUCUUUGACUAUAACAAGCAUCUUAACUUACUUAAACCUCAGUUUUCUUAUCUAUAAAAUUAGAAUAACAAUAGUAUCUGCCUCACAGGAUCAUUAUGAGAAAUAAA
Pongo pygmaeus (Bornean orangutan) is the source of this 5786-nucleotide long non-coding RNA. RefSeq lists it as uncharacterized. The record is from RefSeq and is a predicted model, not a curated record. The transcript is spliced from 3 exons. Lineage: Eukaryota; Metazoa; Chordata; Mammalia; Primates; Hominidae.